This 911-nucleotide long non-coding RNA is filed under the name Ananas comosus (pineapple). RNAcentral describes it as "long non-coding RNA (ACOM_LNC029132)". The record is from RNAcentral. Lineage: Eukaryota; Viridiplantae; Streptophyta; Magnoliopsida; Poales; Bromeliaceae.
ACUAGCGAAGUGCUAGAAGUAAUCUAUGGCAAGGAGUGAGACUCGCGGUAGAGAUAGAAGUGGCGAAAUAACUCUCAGAGCAAUAUGAGUUGUAAAUUGCGAGAGUUGAGCCAUGAUGCUUAUGAGAACACCCGAGUGGCCCGAAAAUUUCGGAUGUCAUUCCGGUAGAUUGAACAGUGAAAGUAACAUCACUGUUGAGAGAAUGAUCGAUUAGUGGCCAAGUUUGAGCACGUGGGCCUAGUAGUACCUCAAGGUGAGGUAGGCGAUUGUGCUCGUGCGGCCGGUGUGCAUAGGCAAGAUUGCCUAAUGUUGGACUUCGUGUGGAACGCUGUAGAGGCGUAGAACGCUCGAGUGUAGAGACCCGUAGAGUACGGAUGCGUAUUCAGCCGAGUGAGUGAGUUGGCAGUAGCACUUGAGCAUUGCUAGGUGUGAAGCGUGCCAUGGAUCACUCGUGGGACUGGUGACUCGCACUAGGAGUAUAGGAGCCGAUAUUGGUACGUGUGACUCGGUAGAGUAUGUCGUGUAGGACGACGACGGCGGGUAGUGCUUGAGGACGACCCGUGCCUGGACCGUUUGUGGACUGUGGAGCCUGGGCCCAUUGGGCAGGCGCAGUCAGCUGCGAGUGACAGCGGCCCGGUACCUACGGGUAGGGCGGAGUUCUGGUCAGGACGGUAGUCCGAGUUUAGGCUCGGGAGCGUGGAAUGCCACGUGAUAAAUUGUGUGACCGAUGGUACACCGAGUAUGGUUGUGACCCAACCCGAGGACUUGACGUGGUUUGGGGUCUUAGUUGCUCCUGGUUGGAGUGUGUGCGAAUUCCCAAGUGAGAAUUUCGCCCGAACAUGAUUAGGUCUGCAUUUGCGAGCGAGAGACGCUGCGUAUUGAGACAGGUUUAGGUGGUAGGCCUACGUAGG